GAUGAACGCUGGCGGCGUGCUUAAUACAUGCAAGUCGAACGAAGAGCUUUUGUAGCAAUACGAGAGCUUCUUAGUGGCGAACGGGUGCGUAACGCGUUGGUGACCUGCCCCGAAGUGUGGGAUAACAGUUCGAAAGGAUUGCUAAUACCGCAUGUGGUUUUCCGGAUUAGAGGCCGGAUCUCUAAAGCAGUAAUGCGCUUCGGGAGGGACCUGCGUCCCAUCAGCUAGUUGGUGAGGUAAUGGCCCACCAAGGCUUCGACGGGUAGGGGACCUGAGAGGGUGGUCCCCCACACUGGCACUGAAACACGGGCCAGACACCUACGGGUGGCUG
This 331-nucleotide ribosomal RNA is filed under the name uncultured Chloroflexota bacterium. RNAcentral's name for it is "bacterial SSU rRNA". It matches the Rfam family "Bacterial small subunit ribosomal RNA", at positions 28 to 351 of the family's 1533-position model. The record is from RNAcentral. Lineage: Bacteria; Bacillati; Chloroflexota.